GAUGAACGCUGGCGGAAUGCUUUACACAUGCAAGUCGAACGGCAGCACGGACUUCGGUCUGGAGGCGAAUGGCGAACGGGUGAGUAAUACAUCGGAACGUGCCCAGUCGUGGGGGAUAACGUAGCGAAAGCUACGCUAAUACCGCAUACGAUCUAAGGAUGAAAGCGGGGGAUCGCAAGACCUCGCGCGAUUGGAGCGGCCGAUGGCAGAUUAGGUAGUUGGUAGGGUAAAGGCCUACCAAGCCGACGAUCUGUAGCUGGUCUGAGAGGACGACCAUCCACACAGGGACGGAGACACGGCCCAGAGUCCUACGGGGUGCAGCAGUGGGGAAUUUUGGACAAUGGACGCAAGUCUGAUCCAGCCAUUCCGCGUGCAGGAUGAAGGCCCUCGGGUUGUAAACUGCUUUUGUACAGAACGAAAAGGCUCUGGUUAAUACCUGGAGCUCAUGACGGUACUGUAAGAAUAAGCACCGGCUAACUACGUGCCAGCCGCCGCCGUAA
RNAcentral lists this ribosomal RNA (500 nucleotides) under uncultured bacterium. RNAcentral describes it as "partial 16S ribosomal RNA". It matches the Rfam family "Bacterial small subunit ribosomal RNA", at positions 28 to 523 of the family's 1533-position model. The record is from RNAcentral.